AGCAGUAGCCACGGUAAUACGAAGGGGGCUAGCGUUGUUCGGAUUUACUGGGCGUAAAGCGCACGUAGGCGGACUUUUAAGUCAGGGGCGAAAUCCCGGGGCUCAACCCCGGAACUGCCUUUGAUACUGGGAGUCUUGAGUUCGAGAGAGGUGAGUGGAAUUGCGAGUGUAGAGGUGAAAUUCGUAGAUAUUCGCAGGAACACCAGUGGCGAAGGCGGCUCACUGGCUCGAUACUGACGCUGAGGUGCGAAAGCGUGGGGAGCAAACAGGAUUAGAUACCCGCGUAGUCCCUGUCUCUUAUAC
This 303-nucleotide ribosomal RNA is filed under the name uncultured bacterium. RNAcentral describes it as "partial 16S ribosomal RNA". It matches the Rfam family "Bacterial small subunit ribosomal RNA", at positions 507 to 807 of the family's 1533-position model. The record is from RNAcentral.